RNAcentral lists this transfer-messenger RNA (400 nucleotides) under Flavobacteriaceae bacterium. It matches the Rfam family "transfer-messenger RNA". Rfam says of the family: Bacterial tmRNA, also known as 10Sa RNA or SsrA, is named for its dual tRNA and mRNA-like properties. Its role is to liberate the mRNA from a stalled ribosome. To accomplish this part of the tmRNA is used as a reading frame that ends in a translation stop signal. Lineage: Bacteria; Pseudomonadati; Bacteroidota; Flavobacteriia; Flavobacteriales; Flavobacteriaceae. The record is from RNAcentral.
GGGGCUGACCGGUUUUGACAGCGAGAACAAUGGAUAAGUAAGCACGUCGAGUCACGUAAUGCAAACUCGUAAAUACUGUAUUACAAACUAUAACUGGCAACGAAGAAUACGCUUUAGCUGCUUAAUCCGACUGAAUUAUAGUAAGUCCAAGCACUUUCUCUGCAAGGCAGAGAAGCUAAAUGUCUCUCAAAAGCCUUUCUCUACGGCGUUUGGUAUAGAGGCACAGGAAUGUGGAGAUAGAAUAAGAACCGCAUCGAAUCUUAUUUGAAAUUCAGAUGCUAAGUUGUAAAUGGGGUGUAAGUCCUCAGUUUACAAUCGAAAAAGUAAAGACUUACUAAGCGUGUAGAAAGCUUGUGUAUUGCUCGUUUGGACGAGGGUUCGAAUCCCUCCAGCUCCACAG